This 2963-nucleotide long non-coding RNA is filed under the name Zea mays. RNAcentral describes it as "long non-coding RNA (ZMAY_LNC002561)". The record is from RNAcentral. Lineage: Eukaryota; Viridiplantae; Streptophyta; Magnoliopsida; Poales; Poaceae.
CCGUCACGGGAGGUUCUGCUCUGCCACCUCCUCCCCAUCUUCCCAGACAUCUAGAAGCUGAAGAGUGAGGCGGCCCUGCUUGUCGCCGCCACCACCGAGCUCUUCCUAGGCAGCCUCAUGGCAGGGGGGCACACAACGACGACGUGACAAUUCUGGCAAGCGGUCCGUGCCGUGCAUGUCUGAACCGCGGCCCGCGGGCACUGUCCCAUGACGGACUUCCUCCUUGACUGCCUCGCUGCUGAAGAGGAGUCUCCCCGCGUCUACUUUUGGAUCUGGUGCUUGGUAUAGGUCAGUUUUACCUAAUAUUCUGUUUCUGUUCCUUGUUUGUUUGAACUGAGGUUGAUUUAGGUUGUGAACUUGUGAUGACAAAAAUAACAUCCUGUUGAAACUAUGCAUGUAUAUACAUAAAUGAUUUGGACAACAAGAUAUCCUGAUACAAUGUCACUCAAUGAUUCUCAUAGAUUUUGCAACCACUGAAGAAUUUUGUUUAUUGGCAUGUCUGUUUGGAAAUGCCCGAAUCUUGUAAAAGCUGAUGCAUUACUGAAUUAAUCGGUCAUACUUUAUGCCUUCAAUCAAUAUGAAAGUGUGGUGUCCAUUUUAUGAAGUUUGAAGACAUGCUUAUCACUGUACCUACUAGAAAUGCUUAUCACUGGUUUCAAAUAAUGGAAGUACCAUCAAGCUUUUGACGUUGAUAGUUUUUGCCAAAUUAAUCGUGAAUACAAACUUUAGAGUGUGUCCAUUGUGUUUCAAAUAAUGGAACCAUCAAGCUUUUGACGUUGAUAGUUUUUGCCAAAAAGAGUCAUAGAUUUUUAUUUACUAUUUUAAUUGCCUUUUUUACUUACCCAGUCUAAUACCAUCUACAAGGUACUUAAUUGGGUGGAGUUUUGGUUGUGAGUCUGUCAAAUUAGUAUAUCUAUAUAUAUCGAAGAAUUGUCAUCUUUGUCAUUUUCUCAGGGAAGACUAGCAAAUGUUGGUGAUUUGGCAGUCAAAAGAGUAAACCCAGAAGCAGGGAUCGUGGAGCUAACAAAUCAUGUGAACUACUAUGAGCAAUCACACAUACAGGGCAACCACCUCAAUGAUUGGUUGGUGUUUUCCCCUCUCUACUUGUUCUUAGCACUGCAAUUGAUAUCUCUAGGAAACUAUGGCAUUUUUCCUUCGUUGGAUUAACCGAGUUCUGCUGGAACAAUAUGAAGUAAACCAUGCUAAGACAUCGAUCUGGACAAUAUUGACGGCAUUGACAUCGAGAGCAGAGGUGACUUCAUUUGCGUAAUGUGAUGCUCACGCCUGGUUUAGGUAGUAGAGUAGUAGCAACGAGCUUCCUUUGGUUGUCGCUCACGAGAGAGUAGAAGAGUAGCAGUACGACAGGUUCAUGUAGCAGAAUAGCAGUAGCGUUGCCAUAGAUCAUGCACUUAUAUGCUGAGAUCUGCACAAAAAUUCUAUGACCAGUUGAAUCAGCACAUCCAUUCCCCUAUGAUUUCUGUUGUCGAUCAAAAAUGGUAUAGCUUGUAUCACUUCAACAAUCUAUAGUUCGUUUUUAUAGAAUCAUUUCAGGGAUCUCAAUAUUAGCGGCCAUAGUUUUUAGCUACAGAUAAAUGUCAUUUGUUUGUAACCCAAUAAAGUAUUUCAGGCAAAUUUUGACUGAUUUAAAUGUUCAGUCUGGACAGUGACUUCAGACAGUAUAGAUGGUACCAGUAUCAGUCCAUUACAAGGUUUUGCAUUAUACUGCAUUUUCUGCAAAAGUAGCAGUUACCAAGUGCCAUGUGCCCUUGUUCUGCAUCAUCACUUAGCUCGUUCAGAAGUACUAAAGUAGUAAUUAACACCCCUUUCUAUAAUGAUUAGAUGCACCAAACUAUAAACCACAUGACACUAGUUUGUAAAAAUACCUGCAUCGUAAGGUUAUUCUGCUCUACUCUGCUGCUAAAUUCAACAUCCAGAUUACUUGGUAGAGGUAGCAAGGCCUUGAUCCUAGCACGAAAUGAGAAAAAAGGUAUGGUUUAAUGUUGGACAACUCAUUAGGGAAGUUCAGACAUCAGAAUCAUAAUUUUUAUGGUUCAGUUCAAUUUUUAUGGUCCAAGAUCAUUUAUUUUGGACUAGGAUAAUCUUUAUUUAUUUUGGACUUGCAGUUGACGUCACCUUCUUGUAUGAACUAUACACUUUAGGAUCCCUUCUUCCUAAACAUAAGUACCAUUGUGUUUCAAAUAAUGGAACCAUCAAGCUUUUGACGUUGAUAGUUUUUGCCAAAAAGAGUCAUAGAUUUUUAUUUACUAUUUUAAUUGCUUUUUUUACAAAUCAUCUUUAAAAUAAGUACUACACAAGGAAGCAAGUAGCUUAGCCUGUGAAUCUGAUCUUGACAUCUCUAUGUUUUAAACUAUAGGCUCACAUGCACGUCGGUGCCAAUUAUUAUUACACGAGUCAACCAUUUUCCUAUGGACAAAAGAGAGCCAACACACCAAUAUUCAAAGAUGACUGUCGACACAAGAUAGCUUUGACUCGCCUGUCAUCUCAUUCCCGUUGUAAAAGGAUAGUCGCAGAAUCCACCAGAUUGCAUUAACUUUCUUGUGUAAUCCUAUCUCAGGGUAUGUUGCGGCUUAUGGCAAUUCUGAGCCAAAAUAUACUACAUUGUAUGGAAACCCUGAUGCAACAUAUACUACACAAGCCUACCCAGAUGUUUAAAGCACUAAUCAGGUUUGUUUACUUGGUUUAUGAUUCUUUUCUUAUUUGCUUUUGAUUUAACUAUAACAAUUGUUCUUGGAUGCAUCUAAAAGGUGGUCUAUUGAGUUACACUAAUGAAAAAAAUAUGGUUCCAAAAUUGAUUUCUUAUUUCUGCUAUUUGAACUUUGAACCUUAGUAAUUUAUUUUGCAUGACUAAUGAUCAACCUGUCUUCUCUUAUCUCUUCUCUUCAAAAAGGCUACAAAGAAGUUGUUUACAAGUGGGCCUGGGAUUGAAUAGAUCGCUGACAAGU